AUUCAUUCCCUCUAGAGCGCUCGACAAAUGUUUACUGAGUGCCCACGGGGUGCCUAGAGCCUGGCGGGACGUCGCGGGGAUGCGGCUGGAGGAAUCGGAGCCGGCCCUGCCCUCUCGGCACUCGCGGUCCGGACCAGGAAGGCGGCCCGAGCAGGACGGGUGGGCUGCGGACCGCGGUGGGAAAAGUUGGGGGAGCGCGGAGGUGGCGCGGAAAUAGAAGGCUUCCUGGAAGCGGUGACCCUUGAGCCGGUCUUGCCCCUCAGUCCCUGUAUCCUUUUAAGCCAGCCACGCUGACCCCUCCGCGCCUCCCUGAAGCCGUUGCCAGCCUGUCUCUGCGCUCGCCAUUCCCUCCGCCUGGACCUCUCCCCACUCACCACCUCCCGCCCCCAUCAGACGCUGCUUUCUCCUCCCAGAGACCUCCAAGACCUGCCAAGCUGAGAGUCUCCCUAAGUCACUGAGGCUGGAGUACAGUGGCAUGAUCUCGGCUCACUGCAACCUCUGUCUCCUGAGUUCAAGCGAUUCUCCUGCCUCAGCCUUCCAAGAAGCUGGGAUUACAAGCGCCCACCACCACACCCGGCUAAUUUUUUUGUAUUUUUAGUGGAGACGGGGUUUUGCCAUAUUGGCCAAGCUGGUUUCGAAUUCCUGACCUCAGGUGAUCCACUGGCCUCGGUUUCCCCAAGUGCUGGGAUUACAGGUGUGAGCCACCACAGCCAGCCUAAAAAUAACUUUUUUAAAACAAACAUAAAUUUUAAAAUAACUUCUUUUAGGCAGUCCAUUCCAUGGAAUUGGUGGCACUGACCUCAUCUGAUGUCCCAGAAAGCUGGCCACAAAAGUUUCCAUCCCCCAUGACAGACAAACAGUUCUACUCUGGGGCAAUUCUCCCUGUGUCCAGACCACAAACGCCCCUGCCUGUUUGGUGCAUCUCAGCAGCAGAAAAUCACCAACCACAAAGCUUUCAGGACCGGCAUUUAAAAUCAACCCAAAGACACUCCCCUUCCACAUGCUCUGGGCUCCGUGCGAUCUUUCAUAGCGCAGCUCCACGCUCCUCCUCGCAGACGAGACUGGCAUUCAAACCAGGAAUUCUUCUGAGGGGCUCUGUGUGCAGGAAUACAAUCACCUCAAGCUCGUGUAAGAAGAAGAGAGCUCCAGUUACCAGGGCUUCCGAAGGCUUUUAAUAGAAAACAUUUGUGCCAAA
Molecule: long non-coding RNA, 1195 nt
Filed under: Homo sapiens (human)
Lineage: Eukaryota; Metazoa; Chordata; Mammalia; Primates; Hominidae
Description: HSALNT0402009
Source: RNAcentral